GUAGGUAUAGCUCAGUGGUAGAGCACCUGCUUAGCAUGCAGGUGGUCCUGGUUCAAUUCCCAGUUCCUCCA
RNAcentral lists this transfer RNA (71 nucleotides) under Camelus bactrianus (Bactrian camel). It matches the Rfam family "tRNA". From Rfam's summary of the family: Transfer RNA (tRNA) molecules are approximately 80 nucleotides in length. Their secondary structure includes four short double-helical elements and three loops (D, anti-codon, and T loops). The record is from Rfam by way of RNAcentral. RNAcentral also lists the same sequence under 2 other names. Lineage: Eukaryota; Metazoa; Chordata; Mammalia; Artiodactyla; Camelidae.